RNAcentral lists this ribosomal RNA (303 nucleotides) under uncultured bacterium. Its description in RNAcentral is "partial 16S ribosomal RNA". It matches the Rfam family "Bacterial small subunit ribosomal RNA", at positions 507 to 807 of the family's 1533-position model. The record is from RNAcentral.
AGCAGUCGCCGCGGUAAUACAGAGGGUGCGAGCGUUAAUCGGAUUUACUGGGCGUAAAGCGUGCGUAGGCGGCUUCUUAAGUCGGAUGUGAAAUCCCUGAGCUUAACUUAGGAAUUGCAUUCGAUACUGGGAAGCUAGAGUAUGGGAGAGGAUGGUAGAAUUCCAGGUGUAGCGGUGAAAUGCGUAGAGAUCUGGAGGAAUACCGAUGGCGAAGGCAACCAUCUGGCCUAAUACUGACGCUGAGGUACGAAAGCAUGGGGAGCAAACAGGAUUAGAUACCCGUGUAGUCCCUGUCUCUUAUAC